Molecule: non-coding RNA, 211 nt
Organism: Prunus avium (sweet cherry)
Lineage: Eukaryota; Viridiplantae; Streptophyta; Magnoliopsida; Rosales; Rosaceae
Source: RefSeq, a predicted model, not a curated record
UAUUUUGACUCAAUUGUUGAUGCUACCUCACAUUGCAGGUAACAGCUAAUUAGCUCAAUUAAUCAAAUUAGAAGAAUGACAGGAGACAAGAAUAUACAAAAAUAUUGAACAUCAACUAAAGUGCAGAACACAAAACAUAGCAGGCACUACUAGGCAAAACAGAGCAUCGCAUCGAGAAGACAGAACGACUGGUUGGAAGCAAACUUGAAAA